CGCGCUAACUGCAAGUCGAGCGCUUCUUACGUCCUUGACUGCUUAUCUACGCUUGCGAACGAGGAGAGUCAUGCUUGGUAAUUUGCCUAUUAGUGGGCUAACCCUCUCAGGAGGGGUAAUCGCUAAUACCACAUGCGCUCAUACCGCAUAACAGUUGUAUAUCUUCAUGACCUAGCACUAAUAGACGCUCCUCAAGUCGUCACUAGAUGAGAUGGGACCCGGUAAAGCGCUUAACCUAGGCGACGAUGUAACAUGCUCUCCAGAGACGAUGAAGCCUCCACCACAUGCUCGACUAGACGACGACUCGCGCCAGACUCCUAACUGGAGACACGCAGCCGGACUCCUACGGACAGGCAGCAGUAACCCAAUCUCCAGCCAUGCCGCGAAGUGUCUAACAAAGCCACACCGUUGUGAGUCACUAUAGCUAAACGCGAUUAAGCAGUCCGCCUGGGGGAGUACGGUCCGCAAGGUUGAAACUCAAAGGAAUUGACGGGGGCCCGCCACAAGCGGUUGGAGCAUGUGGUUUAAUUCGAAGCAACGCGAAGAACCUUACCCAGGCCUUGACAUCCUAGAAACUUUUCCAGAGAUGGAUGGUUUCCCUUCGGGAAUCUAAAUACCAGGUGGUGCCAGGGUUUUCGUCAGCUUCGUGUUCGUGAGAUGUUGGGUUUAAUUCCCGCAAACGAGCGCAACCCUUUUCUUUUAUUGCCCAUCAUUUUAGAUGGGCACUUUAAGGAUACUGCCGGUGACAAACCGGAGGAAGGUGGGGAUGACGUCAAGUCAUCAUGGCCCUUACGGCCAGGGCUACACACGUGCUACAAUGGUCGGUACAAAGGGUUGCUACACAGCGGAUUUGAUGCUAAUCUCAAAAAGCUGUUUGUAGUCCGGAUUGGAGUCUGCAAUUCGACUCCAGGAAGUCGGAAUCGCUAGUAUUCGCGGAUCAGAAUGCCGCGGUGAAUACGUUCCCGGGCCUUGUACACACCGCCCGUCACAACCAUGAGAGUUUGUUGCACCAGAAGUAGGUAGUCUAACCGCAAGGAGGCCAGCUUGACCCACGGUGGUGAG
This 1062-nucleotide ribosomal RNA is filed under the name Acinetobacter junii. Its description in RNAcentral is "bacterial SSU rRNA". The stretch from base 451 to 1062 matches the Rfam family "Bacterial small subunit ribosomal RNA", at positions 875 to 1469 of the family's 1533-position model. The record is from RNAcentral. Lineage: Bacteria; Pseudomonadati; Pseudomonadota; Gammaproteobacteria; Moraxellales; Moraxellaceae.